CGCACAUUGCGCCCUCUGGUAUUCCGGGGGGCAUGCCUGUUCGAGCGUCAUUACACCUCUCAAGCCUCGCUUGGUAUUGGAGGCCUGCGGGAGCAAAUCUUCUGAUUUGACCUGCACCUCUUGAAGUCUUCCGGCUGGUAUUUAUCUUACCCUCUGCGUUGUGGAAACUAUUCGCUGAUGGGUGGUUAAGAACUGACUGCCGUUAAACACCUCAUUAUCUAAAGGUUGACCUCGGAUCAGGUAGGGAUACCCGCUGAACUUAA
RNAcentral lists this unclassified non-coding RNA (263 nucleotides) under Diatractium sp. Its description in RNAcentral is "partial contains 5.8S ribosomal RNA, internal transcribed spacer 2, and large subunit ribosomal RNA". The record is from RNAcentral. Lineage: Eukaryota; Fungi; Ascomycota; Sordariomycetes; Diaporthales.